This 335-nucleotide long non-coding RNA is filed under the name Phoenix dactylifera (date palm). Its description in RNAcentral is "long non-coding RNA (PDAC_LNC006397)". Lineage: Eukaryota; Viridiplantae; Streptophyta; Magnoliopsida; Arecales; Arecaceae. The record is from RNAcentral.
GUAGAAGAUACCCAUCCAAGCUGCCUGCAGCUCUGUCCCAACUGCAGUAAAUCCGAUCGUACGGCGUCCUCUGACUGCAACCAGCCUGCCAAGAUGGUCUCUGAUCACAAAUCUCACACCUCCGAACAUCGCAUCCAUCAACAUACUGUCGUUAAAGUUUAUCUUGCAAAAAUAUUUCUCAUUUUCCAAAUUUGUCAAAGAACAUUAGCAAAAUCUGUAAGGAAAGGAUCCUUUAUCUCCAAAGACACCUGAGACCCACUCGCCAUUCUUCGAUUCACCCGGAAAAGGGAAAUGGUCUUAAAUUCCUGCCAAGAGGCUACCAGUGUUAGAACGGC